RNAcentral lists this ribosomal RNA (787 nucleotides) under uncultured archaeon. RNAcentral describes it as "bacterial SSU rRNA". It matches the Rfam family "Archaeal small subunit ribosomal RNA", at positions 85 to 879 of the family's 1478-position model. The record is from RNAcentral.
ACUGCUCAGUAACACGUGGACAAUCUGCCCUGAAGUGGAGAAUAAUCCCGGGAAACUGGGGGUAAUACUCCAUAGUUCGUUAUUACUGGAAUGUUUUUCGAACGAAAGAUCCGUCGCUUCAGGAUGAGUCUGCGGCCGAUUAGGUAGUUGUUGGGGUAAUUGCCCAACAAGCCUGUAAUCGGUACGGGUUGUGGGAGCAAGAGCCCGGAGAUGGAUUCUGAGACACGAAUCCAGGCCCUACGGGGCGCAGCAGGCGCGAAAACUUUACCAUGCGGGCAACCGUGAUAAGGAAACCCCGAGUGCCAGCACAGGCUGGCUGUCCGCCAGUUUAAACAACUGGCGAAGAAAGGGCCGGGCAAGACCGGUGCCAGCCGCCGCGGUAAUACCGGCGGCUCGAGUGGUGGCCGCUAUUACUGGGCUUAAAGGGUCCGUAGCUUGAUAAUAGGGUCCCUUGAGAAAUCCGCCGGCUUAACUGGCGGGCGUUCAGGGGAAACUUUUUCUAGGGACCGGGAGAGGUGAGGGGUACUGCCGGGGUAGGAGUGAAAUCCUGUAAUCCCGGUGGGACCACCUAUGGCGAAGGCAUCUCACCAGAACGGGUCCGACAGUGAGGGACGAAAGCUGGGGGAGCAAACCGGAUUAGAUACCCGGGUAGUCCUAGCCGUAAACGAUACUCGCUAGGUGUCGGCCACGGUGCGACCGUUGUCGGUGCCGUAGGGAAGCCGUGAAGCGAGCCACCUGGGAAGUACGGCCGCAAGGCUGAAACUUAAAGGAAUUGGCGGGGGAGCAC